Molecule: long non-coding RNA, 393 nt
Filed under: Pongo abelii (Sumatran orangutan)
Lineage: Eukaryota; Metazoa; Chordata; Mammalia; Primates; Hominidae
Description: lncRNA (ENSPPYG00000030514.1)
Source: RNAcentral
UGCCCCACCUGCAGCGUCACCUGGCUCUUGGAGCCCUUGGCUGUCAGCCCUCAGCCUCCUCCCAGACACUGCAGCAGCUGGGAUUGGGGUGCCUGACUGUCCUCCCCCACUGUCCUGCCUGCCUCAAGUCGGUCUCCCCCAUCACUUUCUGCCCACCGUGCUGUCCAAGCCAACUGGAAGCAGAGUCUCUGGAAAGCCAUGCAGAGCCUUGGGGACUGGCUGGCUCCCUCUGCUGGGACUCUGCUGACCAGUCCCAGUUUCAGACUCUACUAUUUGAGCCAUUUUCACUCUGGCUGGAACUGGCCUCCUAGGAACCGGCUCUUUAACCCCCAAGACAAAGCCACCGCCAAAGCAGGAGCUGCCAAUGGGACACACUCGUCCAGAGACCAGUGA